GACGAACGCUGGCGGCGUGCUUAACACAUGCAAGUCGAACCGAAAGGCCCUGCUUUUGUGGGGUGCUCGAGUGGCGAACGGGUGAGUAACACGUGAGUAACCUGCCCUUGACUUUGGGAUAACUUCAGGAAACUGGGGCUAAUACCGGAUAGGAGCUCCUGCUGCAUGGUGGGGGUUGGAAAGUUUCGGCGGUUGGGGAUGGACUCGCGGCUUAUCAGCUUGUUGGUGGGGUAGUGGCUUACCAAGGCUUUGACGGGUAGCCGGCCUGAGAGGGUGACCGGCCACAGUGGGACUGAGAUACGGCCCAGACUCCUACGGGAGGCAGCAGUGUGGAAUAUUGCACAAUGGGCGGAAGCCUGAUGCAGCAACGCCGCGUGCGGGAUGACGGCCUUCGGGUUGUAAACCGCUUUCGCCUGUGACGAAGCGUGAGUGACGGUAAUGGGUAAAGAAGCACCGGCUAACUACGUG
Molecule: ribosomal RNA, 468 nt
Filed under: uncultured bacterium
Lineage: Bacteria
Description: partial 16S ribosomal RNA
Rfam family: Bacterial small subunit ribosomal RNA
Source: RNAcentral